AUAGUUUGAAGUGUGAAGCAUGUAAGUGCCCCUUCGGGGGAACACGUAGUAGGCGAACGGGUGAGUAACACGUGGGUAAUCUGCCCUGCACUUCGGGAUAAGCCUGGGAAACCGGGUCUAAUACCGGAUAUGAACUCCUGCCGCAUGGUGGGGGUUGGAAAGUUUUUCGGUGCAGGAUGAGCCCGCGGCCUAUCAGCUUGUUGGUGGGGUAAUGGCCUACCAAGGCGACGACGGGUAGCCGGCCUGAGAGGGUGAUCGGCCACACUGGGACUGAGACACGGCCCAGACUCCUACGGGAGGCAGCAGUGGGGAAUAUUGCACAAUGGGCGAAAGCCUGAUGCAGCGACGCCGCGUGGGGGAUGACGGUCUUCGGAUUGUAAACCCCUUUCAGUAGGGACGAAGCGCAAGUGACGGUACCUGCAGAAGAAGCACCGGCUAACUACGUGCCAGCAGCCGCGGUAAUACGUAGGGUGCGAGCGUUGUCCGGAAUUACUGGGCGUAAAGAGCUCGUAGGCGGUUUGUCACGUCGUCUGUGAAAUCCCUCGGCUUAACCGGGGGCGUGCAGGCGAUACGGGCAGACUUGAGUACUACAGGGGAGACUGGAAUUCCUGGUGUGCGGUGAAAUGCGCACAUAUCAAGAGGAACACCCGUGGCGAAAGCGUGUCUCUG
Molecule: ribosomal RNA, 669 nt
Filed under: Dietzia sp.
Lineage: Bacteria; Bacillati; Actinomycetota; Actinomycetes; Mycobacteriales; Dietziaceae
Description: bacterial SSU rRNA
Rfam family: Bacterial small subunit ribosomal RNA
Source: RNAcentral